Molecule: RNA transcript, 900 nt
Organism: Rhipicephalus sanguineus (brown dog tick)
Lineage: Eukaryota; Metazoa; Arthropoda; Arachnida; Ixodida; Ixodidae
Exons: 8
Source: RefSeq, a predicted model, not a curated record
UGUAUCGGUUCCCGGGCGUGUCGCACGAGAAAUAAAGGCGGCAAGCGUGGAUAGCUGACAGCGCUGUCUCGCCUUCUAUUUUGGCUGUCUGAGUUCAUCGCUUUCGUUCGUUCCGACUACCUGAAUCGAAAAUAUAUCACAUUUGGGUAGUCGCCGUUUCAAAAAGGAUUUUAGGUCCUUCUUCUUUGACACAUUGGCAGAUGUCAAUCACCAGCAUGCACAGGGAGAUCACUUGUCAUCGCCAAGUACGCAGCGUUCACAGUCGUCACAACAGGCGCUGGCAGAUGCUGGCUUACCUAGUGGAGGACCGCGCCGACUUCAUCAAGCACGGCCGCCCGCUAUGCAAAUGCAGCAGAGAGGAUCAGGAAGCCGCGCAGUGCGCCCUGACUGUGAUCAGCAGAGACGACGAGGGAUGGAUGAACGAAACGUACAAGCACAAGACACUACCGCACUGGAAGAACAAUUAAACCUUUUUUCCGUACGAUUUUCUGGUGGAGUAUUACUCGAGAUAUGGCGGCACAGAUCCAGGUCAUGCUGUUCGUACCCUCCUGCAGAACCUCCUAUCGAAGGAAGGUGCCCUCAAGUUCAGCUUGAAAGGGUAGCAGGGCAGGAAACACGCUUUCUCCGAACUCACGGCCAUCGUGAACUUCAUGCUGACAUCGGUGAGGAGCAGCUUCCCAUCUGCUUCACUUCAAGCAGUGAGCGGAACAACAAAACGCUGGCUAGUCGGGGCGGUUGACAGAGCCGGCGGCCGAAACGAGAGCGCCGCGUGCUACUCCCAAGGCUCUGCAACAGUGCAGGCUAUGUGAUAAACAAAAAUAAAAGCGUGAGAAGGAAUCGUUUGCUUCUCAUUCAUGCGCCCGGAAAAGUGACGAAAAAACAAAAGCAGUCGCUUUUCUU